This 506-nucleotide ribosomal RNA is filed under the name uncultured bacterium. RNAcentral describes it as "partial 16S ribosomal RNA". It matches the Rfam family "Bacterial small subunit ribosomal RNA", at positions 29 to 523 of the family's 1533-position model. The record is from RNAcentral.
AGUGAACGCUGGCGGUAGGCCUAACACAUGCAAGUCGAACGGCAGCACAGGAGAGCUUGCUCUCUGGGUGGCGAGUGGCGGACGGGUGAGGAAUACAUCGGAAUCUACUCUGUCGUGGGGGAUAACGUAGGGAAACUUACGCUAAUACCGCAUACGACCUACGGGUGAAAGCAGGGGACCUUCGGGCCUUGCGCGAUUGAAUGAGCCGAUGUCGGAUUAGCUAGUUGGCGGGGUAAAGGCCCACCAAGGCGACGAUCCGUAGCUGGCCUGAGAGGAUGAUCAGCCACACUGGGACUGAGACACGGUACAGACUCCUACGGGAGGCAGCAGUGGGGAAUAUUGGACAAUGGGCGCAAGCCUGAUCCAGCCAUACCGCGUGGGUGAAGAAGGCCUUCGGGUUGUAAAGCCCUUUUGUUGGGAAAGAAAUCCAGCUGGCUAAUACCCGGUUGGGAUGACGGUACCCAAAGAAUAAGCACCGGCUAACUUCGUGCCAGCCGCCGCCGUAA